RNAcentral lists this long non-coding RNA (4349 nucleotides) under Cairina moschata (Muscovy duck). RNAcentral describes it as "domestica (muscovy Duck (domestic type)) lncRNA (ENSCMMG00000001183.1)". Lineage: Eukaryota; Metazoa; Chordata; Aves; Anseriformes; Anatidae. The record is from RNAcentral.
AUGCUCCUGGGGCUGAGCCCCCACCUCAGCGCCCUCCUUCCCGGGCAGCAGCUGCCUGGCAGCGUGGUGUCAGGGUUUAUCAGCUUUCAUGGGCACGGCAAGCCUCCAAAGUCGACCGUGUGCCUGCUUCCUGCCCUCUCAUCCACCCUGCCACCCUGUGUCCUUGCUGGCUGUGUGCACAGAGCUCCCAACGCGCUCAACACCCCAGGUAUGCACGGAAGGAGGAGAAGGAAGCUCCUCCGGGCGGCUGCCAGCCCUCUGCAGGGCGCUCCCCCUGGGAUUUCCUGCAAGUCAUCGCCUCGGCCGGCCAGCGAAGCUCUUGCCGCAUGCACCGGGGCUUCAUCUCCUGCAAUAUAACCCACCUCCACCUCCAGGAGAAAGAAAAAAGCUUCAUUUUUCCCUUUUUUUUGUGUUAUAAACUUGUAGUACGAGGAUACGGCGCCGGGCGAGGAGGCAGCUUGGCCACCGCUUGCCUUAACUGAAUUACUUUUUUCUCCACGAUUGGAGAUUACGGAGUUUGAGGAGUUUUAAAUAUGCUAAUCUUUGCUGAAAAGGCAGAGAGCUCUGUGCCGGGGGAUUAGAUAAAGCUAUUGUAUAAAAAAAAAAAAAAAAAAAAAAAAUCGUGUGCUGCUCACCGCCUUUGAUCUUGUUUUAUCAGGUGCCUUCCAUCAGCCCCAGUGCCUCCAGCUUGAGGGAUUCGGAUUUCUGGGGCACAUCAGUGAGUGCACACAGCACCUGCGCUGAGGUAGCUGCCCCUAAAUGUGGUAUUUAUACCCAAAUAUGACACAUUUAGGCUUAUUUUGCCCGCGAGCACGUCUCCUCCCCUCAUUUUUUGGGGUGGAAGGGGCAGAACCGGCCGCUGGGGCGCUGCGGGAGCCAUGUCCUCUCCUCACGUGGCUUUAUGAUGCAGCUUUUAUUGGCGAGCAAGUCUGAAGGGCACGGACGGAAAGCAAACGGAGGCCCCGGUGCCUCGUGCUGCGUUGCGUAAGGUCCCAAAUAAAUUAAAAAUAAGCCCAAGCAGCUGUUUUUAUCAGGAGCCGAGAGGUUGCCACUGAAAAUGGUGAUGGGUGCGGUGUAAGAGCAGGUAGGAUGCGACUGUUUGGAAACCACGCCGUUAUGGGCAGUGCUGAGCGCGGUAAUUAAUUAGAUAAUUGGAGAAUUGGAGGUGGUUUGGGUGCAAGGCUGGCCCAACGCUGACCACUACCUCCGAGACAGGCAUCCCUUGGCAACUUGUGGCUGGUUUUUGAGGAGUUCCCUGCCUUGCAAGCUCCUGGCAGCCAUCAAAUUGUCCCCUUUUCACCCGUUUAUUUCCCAGGGUCUUGAUUUUCUUGGCCGUGUCUUGGUGUGCUUGGUUUUGCCUUUGGGCUGGACGCCUGUUUCACAAGUCGCCGGGCUUCGUUUUUUUUGGGUUCUUCUCAAUAUCGUCCUCCUCUCCUCCAUCUCUGAGAGAGCCUUUCCGAGGAGUGUGCCAGGCCUGGAGAAGGAGGUUGGAAAUUUUGGUGGUGCCUUUUGAUUCCUGCUUAUUUGUGGGGGGAAGGAGCCAGAUCCGAAGGAGCUGGAGCUCUUCUGCAAAGGAAGAAGAGCUGCACCUCUGCACUUUGGUGUUUUUUUCUGUCUGUAUCACAGAAAUAAUACAUGAAUUUAGAAGAAUGGGGUCUUCUGAUCCCUUUGGGGUAAAAUAACAGGGUUUUAUCUGCAGCUCUUCGUUUGGCACGUGGUCCAGGUUCUGUGAGGCUGAUGGUUGAGCCUUUUGCUGAAGAUGUAAGUGGGGCUAAAGGAGGAAGGGUGAGGAACAUCACCACUUCUGUUGACCACACAGAGUUCAGUUCAGGUCUAUUAUGGCAUCUGCUGAUGGAAACCAACCAAAAACCAACCACCAGAUCAACCAAAAUGCCUCGCAGUGGUGUGAAACAUGGCUUAAAAAUCAAAUAUGCUGUCUUGACGUGAACACUAAAAGACUUUUUCCCAUGACAACACCUGAAACUCAUAAUUUGGGUCUCGUAAGCUGCAAGAAAAAGGUUCCUGGUGACAGCUGAAUGCUUCUGAAAGGGUGUGGGAGCUCGUUUCGCUCUUCUGCUGCGGGACAGAGUAGGACAAAAUAAAAACGCUCUUUGGAAACGAAUGGAUGUAAUCAUAAUUACGAGUUUGACGCGUUAGUGUAAAUUAUUUCUGUGAUAAAUAGCAAAAAUGGGGCUCAGCAGAUGACUGACAGCCAACAAACACGUGGACUGGGAGGGAAAGUGGCAUUUUUCAGGUCGGUUUUCUGGAUGUGUUUACUAAGUUUAUGUAGAGUGGAAAGCUAAAUGGGUUCUGUCCUCGGCACAGAACAAACUCCGAUGGAUAAGAAAACAUUGAAGGGCCCAGGGACAGUAAAUAAUCAAAUUAGUGUGCAUCAGGCAUUUUCUCUCCUGUUUGAAGCUGGCUAGGCUGAAUUUGUUUUAGGAUAUUCAAAUAAUGUGAAUUGGGGUAGAUUUUGAGUGCGUUUCCUUCAAAUUCUUCAUACCUGUAUGAGGCUUAGUGCAUCGCAAGGGGAAAAACGCUGAACUGGGAAGGAAAUAAUGAAUGAAACUGAACUUAAAUGAGUGGUUUUCACCUGGGGGAACGAGAUACAGGUUCACACAGCUUCUGGCUGCCUCCUGUCAGCUCUCCUUGGCACAGUCUGCUCCUCAGGUGAGGAAGGAAAUCCUGGUUCAGCUGUGAAGCUGAGCAGCAGCAGCGUUUCCUUAAUUUGCCUUCAGACCGAGGGUGGAACUUGCCUUUGUUCCCAGCCAGCCCUUCUUUCUGCUGGCCUCCUGUUACGCCGCGCUGAGUCAGAGCUGCCCGAGGGCUGGUGCGUGGCUUCCCACCUCUGGAAAAGCUCCUCCAGCUUCUGCUGUGCCCGGGGAACACCCGAGUACUGGCCAGAGCUUUGACUUUUAGAGUAUUUUUCUUACAGAACCAACCCCCAAAUCCUUAAUUCUCGGUGAUGAUGAGAACCAGGUACAAGGAGCCUUUAUUUUGGGGCAGUUUUGGCCACGUCGCGGCUUCUUUAAUCCCAUCGCCGAGACCAGAGCUGGCUGGGUUGGAUCCUGCGUGGCUUUGGCUCCUUGCUGCCACAUCAGUGCCUGGGCAUGCUUGUAGGAGUUUCCAGAGAUGCCAGUGUCCCUGGAGAUGCCACUCAGCCUUGUGGGCUCGUAGCCUUCUCAUCCAGACGCGUGUAGGAGUCGUCAACACGCAGGAUUAAGGUUUUGGUUGAAGCCUGAAGCGUAUUUAGCCAGAUCUAAAAGAGCCUGGAAGAAAUCUCAGCCCUCUUGGUGAUCCUGCUGCUGAGAAAAUGGUCUUCGCUUCCACUUGGCCUCGCCUAGGUCAUGAAUUUCCUUGAACCUUUGUGCUGUUAAUGCUUGUGAGCAUCUAAACGAGCACCGCUCAUCCCGCUGAGUGGUGAUAUUUAAUGAUUUGCUUCUCGGAGAGCCCUCAGCCUUUUUCUGCAGCACAACCCCCCCCCCCCCUGCUCCACCGUUCCUGUAAUUAACGCAGGGCUUCUUGCAUUUCUCUGAACCCUUCCUGCUCGGCUUCCUCCGUCGAGGUUUGAGUUACGGCCAAGGCAUUUUCCUAAUGUCCAUGAUAGGGGCAGCACAAAAGGGAAGGGAAAUUCAAGCUGGAUGGGCAGCUAAGAGGAGAGGGGCCCUGGCAGGGUGUAGCCUCGCUGGCGGAGCUCCCAGCAGGGGAUUUAUCCCUGCCAAGGGGUCUGAGGAGCUGCCUCUGGAUUUAGGGAGCAAAUUCCUGCUUUAGGGAGAGAGCUGGGGCCCUGCAGAGGCUCCGAAGCUGUCUGCAGAGAAACGGGCAGGCAAUAUUUUAAUUUCAGUGCAGAAACAUCCUUGCAGCUCGUCGGGGAGCUUCCUUUGUUUUAAGGAAGACGCCGGCUGCUCCGGGAGGAGAAAACACUCCAUAAAUUUCAGGAAGAGGGCGUUCGGUUCGAAACCCAGGUAAGUGGGGAACGUUUUCUUUGGGAGAGGUGACUGAAGCUGCUGGAGGCAGAGGAGCAGGGCUUAACUUCCACGGGCAGCAGAAUUAAUUGGCAGUGAAGCCCUGUGCUGCCUGAUCUGCUCGUUCAGAGGAAGCUCUGACCCCUUCUCGCCUUUCCUAGACGGGAACAGGCACGCCCUCCUGCUGCAGCUUCGUGGCCUUGUGUUUGUGUUGUCUGUCUGAGAUGAUUUUAUUUUCUUUCCCCCCUUGGUUUCAAACUGAUACGUUUGCUCUUGAAGCACUUCUCGAGCGUUGUGUGUCCUUGGCGCUCGCAAAAUGGCUGAAAAAAUCACUUCAUGGCUCCAGAAAAGCUGCAGCGACUGAAGCUCAGCCUCUGCUCGCUU